GAUGAACGCUAGCUACAGGCUUAACACAUGCAAGUCGCGGGGCAGCAUGGGGGUUGCUUGCAAUCUCCGAUGGCGACCGGCGCACGGGUGAGUAACGCGUAUCCAACCUGCCCUUCACCACGGGAUAACCCGGCGAAAGUCGGACUAAUACCGUAUGUUGUCCAUUGACGGCAUCCGAUUUGGACGAAAGGUUUGGCGGCGAAGGAUGGGGAUGCGUAUGAUUAGCUGGACGGCGGGGUGACGGCCCACCGUGGCCACGAUCGGUAGGGGUUCUGAGAGGGAGGACCCCGACACUGGAACUGAGACACGGUCCAGACUCCUACGGGAGGCAGCAGUGAGGAAGAUUGGGCAAUGGGCGUAAGCCUGAACCAGCCAAGUAGCGUGCAGGAUGACGGCCCUAUGGGUUGUAAACUGCUUUUAUGCGGGGAUAAAGUGGCCCACGUGUGGGUUUUUGCAGGUACCGCAUGAAUAAGGACCGGCUAAUUCCGUG
RNAcentral lists this ribosomal RNA (490 nucleotides) under uncultured bacterium. RNAcentral describes it as "partial 16S ribosomal RNA". It matches the Rfam family "Bacterial small subunit ribosomal RNA", at positions 28 to 507 of the family's 1533-position model. The record is from RNAcentral.